Long non-coding RNA from Numida meleagris (helmeted guineafowl), 2427 nucleotides. RefSeq lists it as uncharacterized. The transcript is spliced from 3 exons. NCBI's taxonomy places the organism in Eukaryota, Metazoa, Chordata, Aves, Galliformes, Numididae. The record is from RefSeq and is a predicted model, not a curated record.
UCCCAGACCUCAUUUAAGAGCUGGCAGUGAAGGCAAGGGUAUUUUGCUGGAGAUCCCUGUAUACCUGAGGCAUUCUGAAGCGCAGCUUUGAAAAGGCGUGAAGGAGAAGCAGCAGUUUUCUCACGGGGAUGUGACAGUCCUUGCCAGGGCUGUGAGCUGAGACAGUGACUUCGCUGCUGUAGGAAUAAGAGCACUCUGUUCAUAUGGCCUUCUCAAGGACUUCAGUGACUGUAGGGAUUGAACUCUCCAUUCUCUUAAUGACGAAGCAAAAAUUGUUGGGAUCAGAAGCUUUUUUUAAAAAAUUACCUAAUAUGAAGGAUUUAACAUCCUAUAACACGACCCAGAGAUACGGAGAGAUAGCAGCCCAGGCUUGACUGUGUUGACUUUCUACCAUCCUGUGGAACUAUUUCCACUCUACCUUUGCACAAGACCAAGCUUCGCCCAAUGCUAUUUUCUAAAGAUCGUUUGGAAGAGGAAAGGAAGAAUCCAGUUGCUCACUUUGUUACAGUGUUUUUCGGGCUAAGAACAAAUGCAUUUCUGCUAUAUGGGAACAAAGGUCAUGAGUGCAGGUCUUUGUGUCCCCUUUCUAAUGCAGUACAAAGGUGGCCAGAAGAGCAUGAACAGAGUGGGAAUAUCACCGUUAAUUACCUUACUGAGGAGGGAGAAACAUCCCUUGGAUGGUCCUGUUUCCCAUGCAUUGUUAAUUGUGGCUGUAAGAGAUCUUCUCCGGGCCAGUGGGUGUGCCCGGCUGUUGGGAUCCUUUUGAUCCCAUGCAAAGUGGCCUAUAUAGCAGGGAUGUCCAGAUGGAAAUGCUGUUGCUUACAUCCGUCAUGAUUAAAACUGCAGCAGUUCCACUAGAUGCUCAGCUGAAGACUUUUCUUGUCUUCUCAGAUACUCUGUCAAAUAUUGUGUCAAAUUCAAGGAUGUGGAAUAUGUUCCGUGUUGAUCUUUAAAGCUGCUGGAAUCUUCUCAGGUAAAUACAGAUUUUGUCCAUGGUGAAUGACAUCCCCUUCAAGAUCAGAGUUUGUGACUCCUGAACGCUUUCUUGCAUUUGCCCUUCAGCUCAUUUCCAGUGGUGGGAUGAGAUGAAUGGAGGACUUCGGAGUUAAGAACAAAACAAAACCUCUGUUUCUUCAGAUUAACCUCCCACAGACAGAUGGCUGACAGAAGUAGCCCACAGGGUUGCCCAGUAUAUUUUCCUGAUACAGUAAGACCCUGCGUACUUACAGAUUCCUUGGUAUGUUCUCUUGAGUCUGUGGGCAGGUGCUGACUUCAGUAUUAAAUGAAGCGUACAGAAGCAGAUAAAUACAGUUGCUGAGCUUUCACAAUUGUUAAUGCAUUUAAUUGUUUCUGUCCCAUCUGACUUGAUGUUCCUGCUUCAGUGUUUCAUUUUUUUUCUAGCUUUGACCUCUUUUCUAUAUCAAAGAGCUAGAGAACAGAUACUGUUCUUUGACUUUUUAUUCCCUGAAGUCAGUUCAUAAUGUAUUCAGCCUAAUAAUUGUGUGUUGCAUUGUGCUUGGCUUAUCUUUCUUCAAACAACUCUUGCAGAAAUUGCAGUUCAGUCUUGCUCCUGGUGUUCUGGUGCUAGUUCUCAUUUAAAAGUACUUAAAUCCAGAUUCAGCAGAAAACUGUAGCCCUUUUGGGAGUGCAGAGAAAGCUCUGGGCUGCACAGCUAGUGUCAGCUUAUGAUGUGAGUGAUGUUAUGGGUGAUGAGGGGAGAUAGGUAACGGUAAUUUAUAGGAAUACCAGUGAAGAGACCUACAAGUGACCCAAGAUGUUUCUGAUGCUGUUCAUCAUGGAUUAUGCACCUUCCAUUGCUUUUCUUACUUGCCUUUCCUUGCCAGGGCUCUUGAACUUGUUUACAAAUCAGCAUUAGUAGUGAUGUUUUGGACAGGUUAGAUGGUACAAGGGUGCACAUUUCAAAAGGAGCAAAAUGCAUUGCUCAGAUGUUGAAUGCUCAGUUGUCCUUUUGUAAGCUUGAGAGACACCUGAGCAACCUGAGAGAACACUGAAGAAAUUACAGUGGCUGAUAAUGUCUGAGUGAUGUGCUUCACUGGUGCAGUUUUGAAGAGUUGAUGGUUGAACUAGAUAAUCUCAGAGGCCUUUUCCAACAUUUAUGGUUCUAUAAACCCUUCCUAGCUGAAACACAUAAUAUUUGCUUUCUUUUUCUUUCUUCCUUUAUUCUUUUUUUCUUCUGGUAUUAUUUUAAUCAACCAGUUAACUUUAUUAAAAUAUGAGUUGUGUUCAGAGAUUAAAUGUCUGUCACCUGAAUUAACUUUAGGCAAAACCAUUUUAUUAGUGUUCUUAGACCUCCAAUCAAGAGAAAUGAUAGUAAAUCAUUAAUAUAUGUUCUACCAUUUUAAAAAUUAAAUCUGUGCCAUGAUGUGUUUUACUGUUUUAUAGCUAUUAUGUGAAGCCCCUUGGGAU